UACGCAGGGUGCAAGCGUUACUCGGAAUUACUGGGCGUAAAGGGUGCGUAGGUGGUUGUUUAAGUCUGCUGUGAAAGCCCCGGGCUCAACCUGGGAAUGGCAGUGGAUACUGGACAGCUAGAGUGCGGUAGAGGGUAGUGGAAUUCCCGGUGUAGCAGUGAAAUGCGUAGAGAUCGGGAGGAACACCAGUGGCGAAGGCGGCUACCUGGACCAGCACUGACACUGAAGCACGAAAGCGUGGGGAGCAAACAGG
RNAcentral lists this ribosomal RNA (253 nucleotides) under uncultured bacterium. RNAcentral describes it as "partial 16S ribosomal RNA". It matches the Rfam family "Bacterial small subunit ribosomal RNA", at positions 524 to 776 of the family's 1533-position model. The record is from RNAcentral.